Cricetulus griseus (Chinese hamster) is the source of this 5928-nucleotide non-coding RNA. NCBI's taxonomy places the organism in Eukaryota, Metazoa, Chordata, Mammalia, Rodentia, Cricetidae. The record is from RefSeq and is a predicted model, not a curated record.
CACCGAAUGCAAUGUCUUACACAGUAAAUCAAAGACAACCUGGUGACUUCCGGGCAGGCCUCCCCUAUUCUUGGCAGCCCUGUUCCCUUUCCCCCACAUAGAUUCUCUGCAUAGUAGCCAGUGAUCCUGGAAACAAGUCAGAAUCCUUCAUUCCUAUCUUUAAACCUGGUAACCUGCCUACGAACCCCGCCUGACCUGUCCGGACCCGAGGCUCUGCCACAUCUCUAUCCGCUCUCCCUCUGUCCCUGUGCUGUGUUCCUGCUGGUCCGCCAUGCCCUAGGCCUGCUUCCACAGCAUCUCAAUCCACUCUGCUCACUCUGCCUCCUCAAUACCCCUGUGAAGAAAGGAAGGAAGAGACCUCUGGCCGUUACUUGUUACAGAAGCAAGCAGGAUCAGAAUGGACGUGGUGGCUCAGUGCUGUAAUUCAGACACACGAAGGCUGAGGCAGGAGGACGAGGACGACCAUUCCAGUCUGGAGUAUGUAGCCAGACAGACCCUGUCAGAAGAGGAAGGAGAAAGAAGCAAGUAUGCACAGACUGGACUUCCUGCUGAAGUCUUCUGAGACAUGUGAGGGUACAGUUAGAGUGCCUGGCCCCACCUGAGAUCUUCAGAAUGCAGAACAUGGAACCCUCAUUUCACAUAUGCCACUGGUUUGCUUCUAACAUAGAAAUAAGUUCUAGCUGAGGCUUUGACCUAUUCCUGUAGUUGGCAUUUUCUUUGCGCGGCCACCUUUCCUUCAUUCUGUAUGCCUACUUUCCUGCUUUCUCAGUGUCUGGCUGACCCCUGCUGUCUCCCUGGCUUCUCCUUUUCUUUCUUCCCUUUCUCCCCAAGCCUAAGUUUCUCCUCCUGGUUACUCUCCUUGCCUAGAAGUCUCACCUAUACCUCCUCCUUUGCUAUUAGGCAUUCAGCUUUUUAUUAGACCAACCAGGUGCCUUAGGCAGGCAAGGUAAAACAGCAACAUAUCUUUGCAUAAUUAAAUAAACACAACACAUCUUUGCAUUGUUAAACAAAUAUUCUGCAACAUGUUUCUCCUUGAACACUCCAUUCCUGGGGCAACACCUCUGGUAGAGAAAGGAGUCUUUAGAGCUGUGCUUCCUGAACUAUUCUGAAUCAAGGUACUGGAGAGCUCAUUAAAAUGCAGAUCUCCAUUCAGUGAGUCAAACUGGGCUGGGGCCCUCUGCAUCACUGCAUCACCAAAAAGCUCCCUAAUGAUGCAGCGUUAACACCCAUGGACCAUAUUUGGAGCAGCAAGAACUGAGGACAGGACAUCUGUAGGUUUGAGAGAAUACCACAUGAAGCGAGGUCCAGCCUUGCUUUUGAAAAUUGUGUUUGCUAGUUGAGCAAAACCCUCUGCAAGCUGAUCACAAGUAAUGUGCUGUUCUAAUCAAAUAGGAAGCAUGAAAACUGGCUGACAUUUAGCAAUGUGUCAUCAAUAAUGCACUAUAUGGUGAUUAACCAUAACUACUAAGCAGGCCACAAAAUUGGCGUCAUUGACUCACAAAUGGCAUCUUCCACUUCCCUCUUGAUCUUGUUCCUCCAAUACAAGACAGCAUUGCACUUGAUGGUUUGAAUAACCUUAAAGUAUAAAUGACGUUGUAAUGGUAGUUUGUUUAUGAUAAGGGUGUUUAUGGUUUAGGAAAAUAAAAUAUUCUCUUUCUAAUAUGACAAACAGAAGGCUAGAAAGAAGGGAAUAGGGACCAAAGCUCAGAAACAUUAAGGAAAUGGAUUGGUAAACUCAUGAUCUCCUGGCUCUUUGAGUUUGUUACAAGCUCUCACUCUGAAGCCCAGGAAAGAUGGGAACUCUCCAUAGAGCCCAUGCUGGUCUUGAACUCACAGCAAUCCUCUUGCCUCAGUUUCCUAAGUGCUGGAAUUACAGACGCACAGCCCACCCCAUGCCCAGUUAGACUUGUGGCCUUUUAAUAUCAGGUAAAGGAAGAAAGGGCCCCUUUCCCUGAGAGCCGGUCUAGGACAAGGCUGUGUUGCUGGGUUAGCAGCUGAUAAAAGGGUGUAGCUGGCUGCAUAUGUAAGGUACAGCCUGCCAUUAAGAACUUCUUCCACUUGUCUGAUCUACUCACUGUCUACAUAUAGUCCAGUUAUUGACAUUGAAAUGUCUAGAAGAUUCUACUGACAUCUUUCCUGCUCAUUCUUUGGUUUCUUCUCCAUUCUUUCCAAUCAUAAUCAAUUUCGCAGACAGGAAAAACAUUUUAUAAGACCAGAGCUUAGCUUACUUGGGGAAGCAUUCAUCUUGCAAGUAUGUGGAUCUGAGUCUGGUCUCCAAAAUCCAAGCCUAACAUGCUGGUAUGUGCUCCUUACCCCAGUACCGGGGAUGCAAGCAACAGGCUGGUCCUGGGCUCAAUGCCCAGCCAGCCUAGCCUACAAGGCAAGAUUCAGGCCAGUAAGGGACUUUGUCACAGGGAGGAAACAUUAAAAAAAAAAGGAAAAGACAGAAGGACCUGAGGCUCUCUCUCUCUCUCUCUCUCUCUCUCUCUCUCUCUCUCUCUUGGUCUGGUCCUCAGGAUGAUAUUUGACCAACAAAAAUUUAAAUUUGACAGAGGUCGAAUAAAAACUCUUGAAGUGAGCUGUCAUUCCCCAGGAACUCCAGCUGUAUACACUGAGCUGUGAUACUGCACCUUCAGGCUCACUGGAUUCAAAUGAGCUUUCUGUCCACAGUGGGGCUAAGGGGAGCCUUUACAGCCUCCUGCUGCCCCCUUGUGGUAGGACUCAAAGUUGCUCUCCAACUUUUGGUGAGUUCUCUUCAACCCUAACAUUACGUUUGAAGACAGUAGUUGCCAUAAGGCCCUGGGAUUUCUGGGUGCAAGGGGACUGUAAAGUUUCUGACUCAGUUUCCAGGUGGACUAGUGACCACAUGGUGUUGGAAGUUUCAUUACUCUCAGUGCUACAGUCUACCUCAGUGAGCAAAUGGUGACUCCAGAGGCCUGGGAGAGAGGGAUGGAGGUCAGCGUUUUGCAGUGUGCUAUUUCAAUGCAAAAAGGUCAGUAUUGUGUGUUCGAACUAUGAUGAGACAACGGGGUGGGGCCCACUUGACUCAAAUCAGAUCUAGCCAGGAAAGUCAGACCCAGCAAAUUAUACCACAGACAAUUAUGCCUCCAAAUGAAAAAUUACAAUCGCAGGAGGGAGUAAUUAAGCUUUCCAAUUGCACAAUAUGCAAGUUUUUCCCUUACCCAUUUCCCUGAAUUAGCAGGUCUCCAUCCACUCAGCUUUUGGAGGCCAAGAGCUCUGGCUGGUUUUAAGGGAUAUCAACGUGAAUACAAGUAAAGCCAGCAAGUGGAAAUGAAUAAUGCUUCUUUCUAUUUACACUUCCAGAGGGCUCCACAGAAGCAGCCUGAGUUUCACAAUAUCAGGACACAAACCCAAAUGUGGGCUCAAGGCAAAGGGAAGAAUCUAGAUACUUUCUGGCCGAACAACCAGGCCACACCAGAGCUAACUCGGGUGUUUGCAGUUGUAGCCACUGGAAAGAGAUAAGAAGUUUCUAGAACAUUAAUAGUAGUAUGAUUUACUCGUAAUUGCAGACAGAGUACAUGGAAGAGACUAUUAGUAGGAUGUCAUUGGCCAUGGGACUGAGGAGAAAAUUGCAGGAAGCAACAUGAGUCCCACCAAGGAUCCUGAGCUUCUUGGGGAGACUCUUACACCUGAGGGAAAAGAGAUCCGCAGAGUUCCAUGGGUGCUUGUCCUGUGUAGCCACUGUCCUCCUCCAGGCAGCUUCCUUCUCAUGGUCCCUACCACCACUCUUCACCUCUACCUUAGAAAGUGUCCCUGUGGGGCUUUUCCUUCCAACUGUGGCCUUAUGAAUGAUGUGUGUGGAAACCCCACCCCCCCACACACACACCUGUCACACACUAGUACAGACUAUACCGCACAUUAAUAUGGUUGGGUGGCCUCUGAACGUUUUGUUUAUUAAAAACCAUUUGAAGUAAUGCAUUUCAGGUGGGAGUUCACUACAGAAAAACAAUAAGGAAUCUACCUUCCAGACGUCUCUAAUCUGCAGGGAGGCAAGGAGGAACCCAAGGCAGUGUCAGGAGGGAGCGGGAGGCACAUACGGGGCCUUAGCUUCAGGUUUGGUUUGUCUGUCUUCCCAGCUCUUCCCAAACCCUUUGCUCUUUCCAAAGUAGUGCACAGAAACAUGAGUGCUUCCUUCCGCUGAUCCUCUAAAGGUAGACAUGGCAAUGAGUCGGGUCAGCCCAAGAGAUAAAUCACAUCAUCUGGGAGCUUCCAAAGGUUUCAAUUUUAAUAUUUUUAAAGGGAAAAAAAUGUGUACAGCCUAUGUUUGGAGCCCAAGGCUGCUGUAGCCAUAUUGUGACCAUGGGGUAAACACUGAAAAAGAUGCAAAUAGAGCAGCUUUUAGCAUCAUUUAGUCAUUAGAGUAAUAUUCGAGGCUGCGUCUGUUUGUGCGUAUCAUAGACAUGUAAGUCAGGGUUUCCCAGCUAGCAUCAGAACACCAUCCCAACUAGCAAAAUGACACAGGAGCUACUCACUCACACUGAAAGGUAGGGCAGGAUUGCUUUCCAGGAAGCAUUGUUAGUCCUGACAUUCCCACUCAAUCUUAGAAGCUGAAUCAGCCACAGGGAGGAAAGAAGCAUGAUGGGAGUCUCCCCUACAGGCACAAAGGGACAAGGCUCAUUUUGGCAACAGGCAAGAGCCUUGGAGGGACAUGAAGCUAGAAACCAUACACACCAGAUCACGAAGUACCAUCCACACAUCCAGUCUGAGCCAAUAACAGGAAUUAGAACUUGACUAUGAAGGCAUGGGGUGAAUUUUUGAAGAUUUCAAGUUGAGAAGCAAGUAAUCAGAUGGGUGCCACAGAAUGCUAGGUAUUACUUCUAGGGAUUUGUAUUCAACUCCUAACUUUAUAAUAGUGAAAAUCCAGAAACAAUCUAAAUUUGAUCAAUAGGACACAAGGAGGUGAAUGAUGUCACUUUUCUAGAAUGGGAUAUUUUUGUAACCAUAUUUUGAGUUAUAUAUCAUUAUGCUUGUGGCUCAUCUAAAAAGAAGAAGCAUGAUACAAGACUACAUGACAUACAAAUCUCAUUUUGUCUAGGAGAAAAAUCCAUAGGGAAGAGACCCACAUUUAAAAAAGAACAAAACAUGAUGUUGCAAUUGCGAUUCUUGCAAAGUGGUGAAAAAACCCACUGAUUUUAUAAUUUUCUAUUUUAAGUUUUAUUUUCCUAAUUUACUACAUGAGAACUUUUAAAACCUGGGAUUUUUUUGCCUAAAAUCAUAAUAGUGGCAGCUGGGUGGGGGGUAUCUAAAGCCAGAAAAUUCAGGUCAUUAUUGUUUGUCAAGCUUUACUUCUCAGCCUUUGUGCUGAGCAAACCAGACUCAACUGCACCCGGCUUCCCAGUGCCUAUCUAUGGUCCCCAAGAGAUUUUUUAUCCUCUUUUGUAGCUAAUGUUUUAAGUUAUCAUUAAGAGCAAUGGGCUUCGUCGUGUCAUCUUUUUACCUAUGUGUCAUAUUCUGGUCUCAUUCACCCCCUUCUUUAACUGCCCUCCCUCUCCUCCCUCAUCUCCUCUGUCUAGUUUUCUUCCUUCUAAUUAAUCAUCUCUUCUGCAUGCACCUAUGUACACCAUAUCUCUCAAACCUUCCUGAAGAUCUCCCUCCCUUUCAUGAUCCUCUUCCUAGUUUUAACACACACACACACACACACACACACACACACACACACACCACUAGCUUCCACAGACAAGAGAAAACAUACAGUGUUUGUCAUUUUCAGUUCAGCUUAUUUCAUUUAACAUAAUGAUUUUCCAGUUGCAUCAUUUUCUGGAAAGCGUCAUGAUCUCAUUUACGGCUGUGAAAAAUUCACUGUGCAUAUGUGCCAACAUCUUUCUAUCCAUGCCUGUGUUGAUGACCAUCUAAAUUGGUUCCAUUUCCUACGUUUAUUGUGAAGCAAUAAAAAUGUAUGUGAAAAUA